CCGCACGCGCUCCAAACGACUGAGCUCUCUCGAGAGGAAUGCAGAGUGCUGUAUCGAAGCCUCCAGGUCGCGUUAUGGCGGGAAACAGUUCAAUCGCAGUGGCUUGGAAUGGGUGAAAGUCGUAACAAGGUAUCUGUAGGUGAACUUGUAGAUG
This 154-nucleotide non-coding RNA is filed under the name Ancylostoma ceylanicum. RNAcentral describes it as "Eukaryotic small subunit ribosomal RNA". It matches the Rfam family "Eukaryotic small subunit ribosomal RNA", at positions 1669 to 1823 of the family's 1831-position model. Lineage: Eukaryota; Metazoa; Nematoda; Chromadorea; Rhabditida; Ancylostomatidae. The record is from Rfam by way of RNAcentral.